UACGUAGGGUGCGAGCGUUGUCCGGAAUUACUGGGCGUAAAGAGCUCGUAGGCGGUUUGUCGCGUUGUCCGUGAAAACUCACAGCUCAACUGUGGGCGUGCGGGCGAUACGGGCAGACUGGAGUACUGCAGGGGAGACUGGAAUUCCUGGUGUAGCGGUGAAAUGCGCAGAUAUCAGGAGGAACACCGGUGGCGAAGGCGGGUCUCUGGGCCGAUACUGACGCUGAGGAGCGAAAGCGUGGGGAGCAAACAGG
Molecule: ribosomal RNA, 253 nt
Filed under: uncultured bacterium
Lineage: Bacteria
Description: partial 16S ribosomal RNA
Rfam family: Bacterial small subunit ribosomal RNA
Source: RNAcentral